ACUCUAGUCCGGCAUUGUAAGGCGAUAUAAGAGGUGCAGAAUAAGUGGGAGCCGGGGUAAACCACUAUCUCCCCGGCACCAAUGAGAUACCACCACUCUUACUGUUGCCUUACAUGAUCAGGUGGAACAAGUGCCAAGGUUAUUGCAACCUCCUGGCAUAAGGUUUCUUGUUCAGCGUUCAGUCAUGUCGUCAUUCCUGGCCACAAGGCAGCGUGUGGGCCACGGCCGCAGUUUUGCUCAACUUUCACACCGUACGCCGAUGACAGUAAGACAUCUGGAUACUCCAAGUCAUGGACAGUGCCAGGUGCGGAGUUUGACUGGGGCAGUACAUCUCCAAAACAAUAACGGAGGAACAAUUUUGUGUCUUCAGAACUUUUAUUAAUCAAUGUACUGCCCAUACUCGCAUAACAGUCCCAUUUAUAUAUGAAA
This 429-nucleotide non-coding RNA is filed under the name Aedes aegypti (yellow fever mosquito). RNAcentral describes it as "Eukaryotic large subunit ribosomal RNA". It matches the Rfam family "Eukaryotic large subunit ribosomal RNA", at positions 2425 to 2789 of the family's 3401-position model. The record is from Rfam by way of RNAcentral. Lineage: Eukaryota; Metazoa; Arthropoda; Insecta; Diptera; Culicidae.